UACGUAGGGGGGCUAGCGUUGUCCGGAAUUAUUGGGCGUAAAGCGCGCGUAGGCGGCCCGGUAAGUCCGCUGUAAAAGUACCAGGGCUCAACCCUGGAAAGCCGGUGGAUACUGUCGGGCUAGAGUCCGGAAGAGGCGAGUGGAAUUCCUGGGUGUAGCGGUGGAAUGCGCAGGAUAAUCAGGAGGAACACCGAUGGCGAAGGCAGG
This 207-nucleotide ribosomal RNA is filed under the name uncultured bacterium. Its description in RNAcentral is "partial 16S ribosomal RNA". It matches the Rfam family "Bacterial small subunit ribosomal RNA", at positions 524 to 725 of the family's 1533-position model. The record is from RNAcentral.